CAGCCGCCGCGGUAAUACAGAGGGUGCGAGCGUUAAUCGGAUUUACUGGGCGUAAAGCGUGCGUAGGCGGCUUCUUAAGUCGGAUGUGAAAUCCCUGAGCUUAACUUAGGAAUUGCAUUCAAUACUGGGAAGCUAGAGUAUGGGAGAGGAUGGUAGAAUUCCAGGUGUAGCGGUGAAAUGCGUAGAGAUCUGGAGGAAUACCGAUGGCGAAGGCAGCCAUCUGGCCUAAUACUGACGCUGAGGUACGAAAGCAUGGGGAGCAAACAGGAUUAGAUACCCCCGUAGUCCCUGUCUCUUAUAC
RNAcentral lists this ribosomal RNA (301 nucleotides) under uncultured bacterium. RNAcentral describes it as "partial 16S ribosomal RNA". It matches the Rfam family "Bacterial small subunit ribosomal RNA", at positions 509 to 807 of the family's 1533-position model. The record is from RNAcentral.